Molecule: ribosomal RNA, 434 nt
Filed under: uncultured bacterium
Lineage: Bacteria
Description: partial 16S ribosomal RNA
Rfam family: Bacterial small subunit ribosomal RNA
Source: RNAcentral
GAACGAACGCUGGCGGCAUGCCUAACACAUGCAAGUCGAACGAGACCUUCGGGUCUAGUGGCGCACGGGUGCGUAACGCGUGGGAACCUGCCCUUAGGUUCGGAAUAACUCCCCGAAAGGGGUGCUAAUACCGGAUAAUGUCUUCGGACCAAAGAUUUAUCGCCUUUGGAUGGGCCCGCGUUGGAUUAGCUAGUUGGUAGGGUAAAAGCCUACCAAGGCGACGAUCCAUAGCUGGUCUGAGAGGAUGAUCAGCCACACUGGGACUGAGACACGGCCCGGACCCGUCCGGGGGGGAGGGGGGGGGAUUAGGAAACAGGGGGCAAAGGCCGGACCAAGCAGUGCCGCGUGAGUGGAGAAGCCCUGGGGGUUGAAAAGUUUUUUUACCGGGAGUGAUAAUGACAGUCCGGGGAAAAAAGGCUCCGCCAAACCCCGUG